GGCUUAUUAGCUCAGUUGGUUAGAGUGUCGUGUUAAUAACGUGAAUGUCGCAGGUUCAAAACCUGAAUGUGCCA
This 74-nucleotide transfer RNA is filed under the name Zingiber officinale. It matches the Rfam family "tRNA". From Rfam's summary of the family: Transfer RNA (tRNA) molecules are approximately 80 nucleotides in length. Lineage: Eukaryota; Viridiplantae; Streptophyta; Magnoliopsida; Zingiberales; Zingiberaceae. The record is from Rfam by way of RNAcentral.